GUCCCUGAAGAAAUAAUUGCGAAACGAAUAGCAAGAACUGGAAGUGAAUCGAGCUGCAACAAAAACGAAAUCAUUCAUCAUCAUGAAGAUAUGAAGUGGGGCUGGCGCGAUAAAGAUAUGAAACCCCACGAAAUCGAAGAAACAAGAAUUUUUAAUAAAAAGGAUUAAUGGGUAU
Long non-coding RNA from Apis dorsata (giant honeybee), 175 nucleotides. RefSeq lists it as uncharacterized. NCBI's taxonomy places the organism in Eukaryota, Metazoa, Arthropoda, Insecta, Hymenoptera, Apidae. The record is from RefSeq and is a predicted model, not a curated record. The transcript has 2 exons.